RNAcentral lists this long non-coding RNA (239 nucleotides) under Vitis vinifera (wine grape). RNAcentral's name for it is "long non-coding RNA (VVIN_LNC007111)". Lineage: Eukaryota; Viridiplantae; Streptophyta; Magnoliopsida; Vitales; Vitaceae. The record is from RNAcentral.
UGGUUCUUCAUCUAUAUAGUCAUCUUUCUCUGUACUUUUCCCCUUUUUCUUUCCUUUGAUUUCCUCCCUAUUUUCUUUCUCUGUUUCACUAUCUACCUUAUGCUCUAGCUUGCAUGUGGGCAGAUCAACCUCUUUACCACUCCUCAGAGUGAUCACUUCUUCAAUUUCCUUCACCAUUGAAGAUUCUCCCUCUUGAGCCUCCAUUUCAUGGAUACUCAUGGAAUUUUGAUAAGGUUGAG